This 253-nucleotide ribosomal RNA is filed under the name uncultured bacterium. Its description in RNAcentral is "partial 16S ribosomal RNA". It matches the Rfam family "Bacterial small subunit ribosomal RNA", at positions 524 to 776 of the family's 1533-position model. The record is from RNAcentral.
UACGGGGGGGGUAAGCGUUGUUCGGAAUUACUGGGCGUAAAGGGCUCGUAGGCGGCCAACUAAGUCAGACGUGAAAUCCCUCAGCUUAACUGGGGAACUGCGUCUGAUACUGGAUGGCUUGGAUUCGGGAGAGGAAUGCGGAAUUCCAGGUGUAGCGGUGAAAUGCGUAGAUAUCCGGAGGAACACCGGUGGCGAAGGCGGCAUCCUGGACCGGCAUUGACGCUGAGGCGCGAAAGCCAGGGGAGCAAACGGG